Molecule: ribosomal RNA, 475 nt
Filed under: uncultured organism
Description: partial 16S ribosomal RNA
Rfam family: Bacterial small subunit ribosomal RNA
Source: RNAcentral
UACACUCCUGCGGGAGGCAGCAGUGGGGAAUUUUGGACAAUGGGCGAAAGCCUGAUCCAGCAAUGCCGCGUGAGUGAAGAAGGCCUUCGGGUUGUAAAGCUCUUUUGUCAGGGAAGAAACGGUGAGAGCUAAUAUCUUUUGCUAAUGACGGUACCUGAAGAAUAAGCACCGGCUAACUACGUGCCAGCAGCCGCGGUAAUACGUAGGGUGCAAGCGUUAAUCGGAAUUACUGGGCGUAAAGCGUGCGCAGGCGGUUUUGUAAGUCUGAUGUGAAAUCCCCGGGCUCAACCUGGGAAUUGCAUUGGGGACUGCAAGGCUAGAAUCUGGCAGAGGGGGGUAGAAUUCCACGUGUAGCAGUGAAAUGCGUAGAUAUGUGGAGGAACACCGAUGGCGAAGGCAGCCCCCUGGGUCAAGAUUGACGCUCAUGCACGAAAGCGUGGGGAGCAAACAGGAUUAGAAACCCUAGUAGUCCCAU